UAGCGUAUAUUAAAGUUGUUGCAGUUAAAAAGCUCGUAGUUGGAUCUCGGGUCCAGGCCUGCGGUGCAGCUUAGGCUGCUUACUGCUCGUCCUGACCUACCUACCGGUUUUCCCUUGGUGCUCUUGAGUGAGUGUCUUGGGUGGCCGGAACGUUUACUUUGAAAAAAUUAGAGUGCUCAAAGCAGGCUUGCGCCUGAAUAUUAGUGCAUGGAAUAAUUGAAUAGGACCUCGGUUCUAUUUUGUUGGUUUUCGGAACUUGAGGUAAUGAUUAAGAGGGACAGACGGGGGCAUUCGUAUUACGGUGUU
Molecule: ribosomal RNA, 306 nt
Filed under: Ctenodrilus environmental sample
Lineage: Eukaryota; Metazoa; Annelida; Polychaeta; Terebellida; Cirratulidae
Description: SSU rRNA
Rfam family: Eukaryotic small subunit ribosomal RNA
Source: RNAcentral